RNAcentral lists this ribosomal RNA (819 nucleotides) under Phrissotrichum tubiferum. Its description in RNAcentral is "partial 16S ribosomal RNA". The stretch from base 1 to 587 matches the Rfam family "Bacterial large subunit ribosomal RNA", at positions 1809 to 2925 of the family's 2925-position model. The record is from RNAcentral. Lineage: Eukaryota; Metazoa; Arthropoda; Insecta; Coleoptera; Brentidae.
AAAAACAUGGCCUUUUGAUAUUAAUUUAAGGUCUCGCCUGCCCAAUGAAUAAUUAAAUGGCUGCGGUAUUUUGACCGUACAAAGGUAGCAUAAUCAUUUGUUUUUUAAUUGAAAGCUAGAAUGAAAGGUUGAAUGAGAAAAUUACUGUCUCUAUUUAAAUUAAUUAAAAUUUUAUUUUUAAGUUAAAAAGCUUAAUUAAAUUUUGAAGACGAGAAGACCCUAUAGAGUUUAAUAAUCUAAAAAGUUAAGUAAUUUAGUAUUUAUUUUAUUUAAUUUUUCUAGAUUAUUUAAUUGGGGUGAUUAAAAAAUUAAAUUAACUUUUUUUUUAUAUUUACAUAUAUUAAUGAAUAAUUGAUCCUUAAAUUAAGAUUAAAAGAUUAAAUUACCUUAGGGAUAACAGCGUAAUUUUUUUUUAGAGUUCAAAUUAAAAAAAAAGAUUGCGACCUCGAUGUUGGAUUAAAAUAAAUAUUUGGUGUAGCAGCUAAAUAGGGAGGUCUGUUCGACCUUUAAAAUUUUACUUGAUCUGAGUUCAAACCGGUGUAAGCCAGGUUGGUUUCUAUCUCAAAAAAGAUAAAAUAUUUUAGUACGAAAGGACCAAAUAUUUAAUUAAUAAUUUAUAAUUUGAAUUAUAUUAGUUAUUUUGGCAGAAUAGUGCAAUAGGUUUAGAAUCUAUAUAUGUAAGUUUUUACAAAUAAUACUUGUUAUUUAAAGAUUUAUUUUUAAUAUUAAUUUCUAUGUUAAUUUUGGCUUUUUGUAUUAUAAUUGGAGUUGCAUUUUUAACAUUAUUAGAGCGAAAAGUUUUAGGAUAUAUUCAAAUUC